UAUAAUUUUUGAUUUUUCAUCUUAUUCAAAUUUUUUUUGCGAUUGAUCUUUUUGUUUUUAUUAGAUGAUAAAUCAUGAAUAGUACUUUACGUGUGACUAUCUUUUUUUCUAAUUUCCUAAAAUUUUUUCAAUAAGACAGAUAAUCAAACGUUGGACACGGAAACCGAAG
Molecule: microRNA precursor, 169 nt
Filed under: Oryza brachyantha (malo sina)
Lineage: Eukaryota; Viridiplantae; Streptophyta; Magnoliopsida; Poales; Poaceae
Description: MIR812 microRNA precursor family
Rfam family: MIR812 microRNA precursor family
Source: Rfam by way of RNAcentral